Molecule: non-coding RNA, 139 nt
Organism: Caenorhabditis elegans
Lineage: Eukaryota; Metazoa; Nematoda; Chromadorea; Rhabditida; Rhabditidae
Source: Ensembl
AUGAUAAUGAAGUGACUUGGAGGACACGAACUGGGUGGCAAAGGGAGUGUUGAUAACCGAGGCACGAAAACAGUGACGGCGGUUGGGGUUUGAAGGUCAGUGAACGAAGAAGUCAAAGGCCCUCUCUCGUCUUCCCGCA